Molecule: transfer RNA, 73 nt
Filed under: Caudoviricetes sp.
Lineage: Duplodnaviria; Heunggongvirae; Uroviricota; Caudoviricetes
Description: tRNA-Thr
Rfam family: tRNA
About the family: Transfer RNA (tRNA) molecules are approximately 80 nucleotides in length. Their secondary structure includes four short double-helical elements and three loops (D, anti-codon, and T loops).
Source: RNAcentral
GCCUCCAUAGUAUAAUGGUAGUACGGCUCCCUUGUAAGGAGUUUAUCUUGGUUCGAAUCUGAGUGGGGGCUUA